GUUAAUAUGCAGGUAUCCGACGAUUUAACUAAAAAUUGUUUGACUAACUUCGAGAAAUAAAAUAACUAAAGUAAGGAAAGCUUUCUUAAGCUUAUUUUUGAAAGUGAGAUUCAUUUGAACACUUUAAAAUUGAAUAAACAUGAGUAAAACUGUGGCUUAUUCAACUAAAAAUGCACAAAGAAUUUGAUAAACAAAGUAAAACCAAUCACAAAAGAAAUUAGUUCAUCUUUUAGCGAAUUCGACUGGUUAAAUAAAGUUAGGGAGAUCAUGAUAAUACUACAAUCAAAUAAUCAAAGUAAUGAAAGAAGUAUCGAUGUUUGGGUCUUCUUGGCCGCCUGAGACUUUGGACUUGAGGCCCAAUUCCAGUAUGUAUAUCAACUGUAUACAUUCACUGUAUAUCAGUAUAUAUCAACCUUUUUAUACCUGCAUUUUGUACGUAUACAACUCAUUUUUGUCUUCUGAAGCCUAUAUAUUAGCUCCGUUCCCUGUGUAUUUGCUUUCAUUGACAAGGCUGAUUCGAGAAGAAAAGAUUUGGGCCUCCAUGGCCCAUUUGAAAUGCAAACGGAGAAACAUUUGAGUCCAAAUUGGACUCCAACAGUGUGUCAGAAGAAGGAAAAGAGGAAUAGAUCAGUGAAUGAACAAUUUCUUUAGUAAAAUACAUUCAUUUAAAGGAAGCGGAAACGAUGCAGAAAUAAAAGAACUAUCAUAACAUUGAAUAAAAGUUCAAACAGUGUGUUUGUGAUAAUUAUUUUUUAAAAUUACGACACAAUAUCACUAAAUUUA
This 783-nucleotide long non-coding RNA is filed under the name Solanum tuberosum (potato). RNAcentral's name for it is "long non-coding RNA (STUB_LNC005757)". The record is from RNAcentral. Lineage: Eukaryota; Viridiplantae; Streptophyta; Magnoliopsida; Solanales; Solanaceae.